Non-coding RNA from Podarcis lilfordi (Lilford's wall lizard), 766 nucleotides. Lineage: Eukaryota; Metazoa; Chordata; Lepidosauria; Squamata; Lacertidae. The record is from the annotation of a GenBank genome assembly.
UUGGAAGGGACCAUCAUCAUCGACUUUUAUUGCUCUAGCCAUAGGCCAUGGCAUCAUUCAGAAAAACAACAAAAGGAAAAACAGCAGUAACCAUAAAAAUCACCAGGCACCACACACGCAAUAUAAACCACGGUCAAAACUACUAAGAUUGUUUGUUGCAUAAAAUAGAAUAGCAGAAGGUUCUCUAGUAAAAUGUGCCAAAUUAAAUAUCCGAAUCCCCUUUGCAGUUGACCACUAUUUUAUCUAGUUCUUUCCUCCUGAUCUUCUUGGCUGCCAACGCAUAGAUAGUGCGUACCCUGGAAAUGAUCUCUUUCAGCUUCUGCCUUCUGGAAGAAGGUACAGGGUUAUAAAGACUAGGACUAGCCGCCUGAGAAACAGUUUCUAUCCAAAUGUGAUUUUGGUUUUAAACGCAGUGUAAGGUAGUCUCUAUGGGAGUAUAUUGUAUUUAAUUAUGGGGUAUCGGAGUUUUUAGGGGGCUAACCAGGCUGGGAUAGCUGGGAUAGAAGGCUUGUUGGUUUUUGAAUGUCUGAUGUAGAUUUUCUCGAUUUUGUUGUUCUGUAUGGGACAAUGGGGUUGCGGGUGGCGCUGUGGGUUAAACCACAGAGCCUAGGACUUGCCGAUCGAAGGUUGGAGGUUCGAAUCCCCGCGACGGGGUGAGCUCCCGUUGCUCGGUCCCUGCUCCUGCCAAUCUAGCAGUUCAAAAGCACGUCAAAGUGCAAGUAGAUCAAUAGGUACCACUCUGGCGGGAAGGUGAACGGCGUUUCUG